This 504-nucleotide ribosomal RNA is filed under the name uncultured bacterium. Its description in RNAcentral is "partial 16S ribosomal RNA". It matches the Rfam family "Bacterial small subunit ribosomal RNA", at positions 30 to 523 of the family's 1533-position model. The record is from RNAcentral.
AUUGAACGCUGGCGGCAGGCUUAACACAUGCAAGUCGAGCGGGAAUAGGUAGCUUGCUACUGAAUUCUAGCGGCGGACGGGUGAGUAAAGCUUAGGAAUCUGCCAUUUAGUGGGGGACAACAUUCCGAAAGGGAUGCUAAUACCGCAUACGUCCUACGGGAGAAAGCAGGGGAUCACUUGUGACCUUGCGCUAAAUGAUGAGCCUAAGUCGGAUUAGCUAGUUGGUGGGGUAAAGGCCUACCAAGGCGACGAUCUGUAGCGGGUCUGAGAGGAUGAUCCGCCACACUGGGACUGAGACACGGCCCAGACUCCUACGGGAGGCAGCAGUGGGGAAUAUUGGACAAUGGGGGGAACCCUGAUCCAGCCAUGCCGCGUGUGUGAAGAAGGCCUUUUGGUUGUAAAGCACUUUAAGCGAGGAGGAGGCUACCUGGAUUAAUACUCUAGGAUAGUGGACGUUACUCGCAGAAUAAGCACCGGCUAACUCUGUGCCAGCAGCCGCCGCCG